Molecule: non-coding RNA, 143 nt
Filed under: Scytonema hofmannii
Lineage: Bacteria; Bacillati; Cyanobacteriota; Cyanophyceae; Nostocales; Scytonemataceae
Also listed under: 1 other name
Source: RNAcentral
AUUGUGAAAAAACGAUUCGGUUCUAGUGGGGGUCAGCCACUAGAGGUAACGGGGAAAGUUCGGUGCAAAUCCGGCGCUGUCCCGCAGCUGUAAUAAAGGUUUUCCUUUUUAGUCAGAACGCCCACCGAUUGGUUAACUUCUAU